Molecule: non-coding RNA, 58 nt
Organism: Salmo salar (Atlantic salmon)
Lineage: Eukaryota; Metazoa; Chordata; Actinopteri; Salmoniformes; Salmonidae
Source: Rfam
UGGCUCAGUUUGUAGAGCAUGGCAUUUGCAAUGCCAGGGUUGUGGGUUUGAAUCCCAC